UACGUAGGGGGCAAGCGUUGUCCGGAAUUAUUGGGCGUAAAGCGCGCGCAGGCGGUCUUUUAAGUCUGGGGUUUAAACGGAGGGCUCAACCCUUCGUCGCCUUGGAAACUGGGAGACUGGAGUGCAGGAGAGGGAAGCGGAAUUCCACGUGUAGCGGUGAAAUGCGUAGAGAUGUGGAGGAACACCAGUGGCGAAGGCGGCUUCCUGGCCUGUAACUGACGCUGAGGCGCGAAAGCGUGGGGAGCAAACAGG
RNAcentral lists this ribosomal RNA (252 nucleotides) under uncultured bacterium. Its description in RNAcentral is "partial 16S ribosomal RNA". It matches the Rfam family "Bacterial small subunit ribosomal RNA", at positions 524 to 776 of the family's 1533-position model. The record is from RNAcentral.